GAAACGCGAGGGAGAACCACAGAUUCGUGCGGAGUUGUGUUUUCAUACACACACUCAUGCACGUGGCAGUAAAUCAUUAAAGAGCAGUCUGAGUUUAUGGUAAAGUGCACGUAUGAAAGGUGGAGCAACACUUCCAAUGAUUUAUUCAGUGAGUGUAAUAUCCAUGGCAUCAUUUAUGAGGCGGUGCGUUUGCGUGUGCGACGGGCACAAGAAGAGGCCACGCUGAUCAUAUUGGGAAAUAUUUUACGCGAUAAGUUUGCAAAUUGGGACUUUUUACACCUUGACUUCAUUUUACAUCCACACAAAGACUGGGAUGAAAAAUAAUGGCUCAGCGUGCAACGUCCAUUUUGCAGCAAGUGAGAGGAAAAAAAGACGAAGAUGCCAUUUGCAGUCCAGUGUUGCGAGGUUGGAGGAGGGAGUCCACGGCCGAGAGGAGCAGAGAUGCGAGAGGCGACCUGCCUGUGACCUCUCAGGUCUCUUUCAGCUCAUCUACUCUUCUCAGAGAGGAACCUUCCUAAAUUCUAUUCAGCUGGAGGGUGAAGACGCGAGCGGGUGAACUAAAUGCUGCAGCGUCACGUCACCUUCUGUCAGGAAAUGGCCGGUUUACGUGGCUUGAAGGACACGUGGUGACAUCAGCGGCGGUACAAAUAGAGGAGUUUAAUCCGCGUGUCAUCCCCCGGCCUCGGAGCACAUCCUGUCCCGGCUGCUUUGAAGAAAACGCGGGAUUUGCGAAAGUGGCCUCUGGACAGGAGGUCCGUCUGGGCCACCGGGUCAGCCGGUCGGCCUCGUCCAGGUCGGGGUCCUGACUCAGG
This is a long non-coding RNA of Gasterosteus aculeatus aculeatus (three-spined stickleback), 812 nucleotides long. NCBI's taxonomy places the organism in Eukaryota, Metazoa, Chordata, Actinopteri, Perciformes, Gasterosteidae. The record is from Ensembl.